GUCAGGAUGGCCGAGUGGUCUAAGGUGCCAGACUCAAAGUGAGAAGACUUCCUGGUUGUCGGCUGUUCUGGUCUCCAAUUGGAGGUGAGGGUUCAAAUCCCUCUUCUGACA
Non-coding RNA from Salmo salar (Atlantic salmon), 111 nucleotides. NCBI's taxonomy places the organism in Eukaryota, Metazoa, Chordata, Actinopteri, Salmoniformes, Salmonidae. The record is from Rfam.